Molecule: ribosomal RNA, 500 nt
Filed under: uncultured bacterium
Lineage: Bacteria
Description: partial 16S ribosomal RNA
Rfam family: Bacterial small subunit ribosomal RNA
Source: RNAcentral
GACGAACGCUGGCGGCGUGCUUAACACAUGCAAGUCGAACGGGCCUGUCUUCUUUUUUGGGGGGUGGGUUGAGUGGCGAACGGGUGAGUAUCACGUGAGUAACCUGCCCUUCGGUCCUGGAUAACCGCUUGAAAGGGCGGCUAAUACGGGGUGGUCCGGUUGGUCCGCAUGGGCUGGUCGGGAUAGAUUCACUGUUUUUGGUGAUUCGGCGGGGGAUGGGCUCGCGGCCUAUCAGCUUGUUGGUGGGGUGAUGGCCUACCAAGGCGGUGACGGGUAGCCGGCCUGAGAGGGUGGGCGGCCACACUGGGACUGAGAUACGGCCCAGACUCCUGCGGGAGGCAGCAGUGGGGGGUAUUGCACAAUGGGCGGAAGCCUGAUGCAGCGACGUCGCGUGAGGGAUGGAGGCCUUCGGGUUGUGAACCUCUGUUUCCGGUGGUGAAGGCCCUGUCCGUGUGGUGGGGUUGACGGUAGCCGGGGAUGAAGCGCCGGCUAACUACGUG